RNAcentral lists this ribosomal RNA (1416 nucleotides) under bacterium TiPb-KISR-2. RNAcentral's name for it is "bacterial SSU rRNA". It matches the Rfam family "Bacterial small subunit ribosomal RNA". The record is from RNAcentral.
GCUAUACAUGCAAGUCGAGCGGACAGAUGGGAGCUUGCUCCCUGAUGUUAGCGGCGGACGGGGAGUAACACGUGGGUAACCUGCCUGUAAGACUGGGAUAACUCCGGGAAACCGGGGCUAAUACCGGGGUUGUUUGAACCGCAUGGUUCAAACAUAAAAGGUGGCUUCGGCUACCACUUACAGAUGGACCCGCGGCGCAUUAGCUAGUUGGUGAGGUAACGGCUCACCAAGGCAACGAUGCGUAGCCGACCUGGGGGUGAUCGGCCACACUGGGACUGAGACACGGCCCAGACUCCUACGGGAGGCAGCAGUAGGGAAUCUUCCGCAAUGGACGAAAGUCUGACGGAGCAACGCCGCGUGAGUGAUGAAGGUUUUCGGACGAAAGCUCUGUUGUUAGGGAAGAACAAGUACCGUUCGAAUAGGGCGGUACCUUGACGGUACCUAACCAGAAAGCCACGGCUAACUACGUGCCAGCAGCCGCGGUAAUACGUAGGUGGCAAGCGUUUCCGAAUUAUUGGGCGUAAAGGGCUCGCAGGCGGUUUCUUAAGUCUGAUGUGAAAGCCCCCGGCUCAACCGGGGAGGGUCAUUGGAAACUGGGGAACUUGAGUGCAGAAGAGGAGAGUGGAAUUCCCGUGAGCGGUGAAAUGCGUAGAGAUGUGGAGGAACACCAGUGGCGAAGGCGACUCUCUGGUCUGUAACUGACGCUGAGGAGCGAAAGCGUGGGGAGCGAACAGGAUUAGAUACCCUGGUAGUCCACCCGUAACGAUGAGUGCUAAGUGUUAGGGGGUUUCCGCCCCUUAGUGCUGCAGCUAACGCAUUAAGCACUCCGCCUGGGGAGUACGGUCGCAAGACUGAAACUCAAAGGAAUUGACGGGGGCCCGCAAAGCGGGGAGCAUGUGGUUUAAUUCGAAGCAACGCGAAGAACCUUACCAGGUCUUGACAUCCUCUGACAAUCCUAGAGAUAGGACGUCCCCUUCGGGGGCAGAGUGACAGGUGGUGCAUGGUUGUCUCAGCUCUGUCGUGAGAUGUUGGGUUAAGUCCCGCAACGAGCGCAACCCUUGAUCUUAGUUGCCAGCAUUCAGUUGGGCACUCUAAGGUGACUGCCGGUGACAAACCGGAGGAAGGUGGGGAUGACUCAAAUCACAUGCCCCUUAUGACCUGGGCUACACACGUGCUACAAUGGACAGAACAAAGGGCAGCGAAACCGCGAGGUUAAGCCAAUCCCACAAAUCUGUUCUCAGUUCGGAUCGCAGUCUGCAACCGACUGCGUAAGCUGGAAUCGCUAGUAAUCGCGGAUCAGCAUGCCGCGGUGAAUACGUUCCCGGGCCUUGUACACACCGCCCGUCACACCACGAGAGUUUGUAACACCCGAAGUCGGUGAGGUAACUUUAGGAGCCGCCGCCGAAGGUGACAGAG